Molecule: ribosomal RNA, 477 nt
Filed under: uncultured bacterium
Lineage: Bacteria
Description: bacterial SSU rRNA
Rfam family: Bacterial small subunit ribosomal RNA
Source: RNAcentral
AGAGUUUGAUCCUGGCUCAGAGCGAACGCUGGCGGCAGGCUUAACACAUGCAAGUCGAGCGGGCGUAGCAAUACGUCAGCGGCAGACGGGUGAGUAACGCGUGGGAACGUACCUUUUGGUCCGGAACAACCCAGGGAAACUUGGGCUAAUACCGGAUAAGCCCUUACGGGGAAAGAUUUAUCGCCGAAAGAUCGGCCCGCGUCUGAUUAGCUAGUUGGUGAGGUAAUGGCUCACCAAGGCGACGAUCAGUAGCUGGUCUGAGAGGAUGAUCAGCCACAUUGGGACUGAGACACGGCCCAAACUCCUACGGGAGGCAGCAGUGGGGAAUAUUGGACAAUGGGCGCAAGCCUGAUCCAGCCAUGCCGCGUGAGUGAUGAAGGCCCUAGGGUUGUAAAGCUCUUUUGUGCGGGAAGAUAAUGACGGUACCGCAAGAAUAAGCCCCGGCUAACUUCGUGCCAGCAGCCGCGGUAAUACGAA